GGAGGGGUGCCGGAGUGGUUGAUCGGGCCGGUCUCGAAAACCGGUAUAGGGGGUAACCCCUAUCGAGGGUUCGAAUCCCUCCUCCUCCGCCA
RNAcentral lists this transfer RNA (92 nucleotides) under Meiothermus granaticius NBRC 107808. Its description in RNAcentral is "tRNA-Ser". It matches the Rfam family "tRNA". From Rfam's summary of the family: Transfer RNA (tRNA) molecules are approximately 80 nucleotides in length. Their secondary structure includes four short double-helical elements and three loops (D, anti-codon, and T loops). Further hydrogen bonds mediate the characteristic L-shaped molecular structure. tRNAs have two regions of fundamental functional importance: the anti-codon, which is responsible for specific mRNA codon recognition, and the 3' end, to which the tRNAs corresponding amino acid is attached (by aminoacyl-tRNA synthetases). tRNAs cope with the degeneracy of the genetic code in two manners: having more than one tRNA (with a specific anti-codon) for a particular amino acid; and 'wobble' base-pairing, i.e. permitting non-standard base-pairing at the 3rd anti-codon position. The record is from RNAcentral. Lineage: Bacteria; Thermotogati; Deinococcota; Deinococci; Thermales; Thermaceae. RNAcentral also lists the same sequence under 2 other names.